RNAcentral lists this small nucleolar RNA (136 nucleotides) under Tinamus guttatus (white-throated tinamou). Lineage: Eukaryota; Metazoa; Chordata; Aves; Tinamiformes; Tinamidae. The record is from RNAcentral.
UUGGCCCUGAAUCAAGGCCAUCGGUUUGCUGUAGCCGCUGGUUUCAAGCAGGAGCCCAGAGGAACGUGUUCCUGUGGGAUGUUGGCCAGUCCGGAGCGUCAGGAGGGAAUGGCCCAACUCACUGGAAGCAACAGAA